This 2050-nucleotide ribosomal RNA is filed under the name Triticum aestivum (bread wheat). RNAcentral describes it as "partial small subunit ribosomal RNA". The record is from RNAcentral. Lineage: Eukaryota; Viridiplantae; Streptophyta; Magnoliopsida; Poales; Poaceae.
CAGGGUAGAAGGGUCGGCGGCGGCGGUCGUAGAAGGUGGAGCCCUAGGAGGGUCUAGCCUAGCUAGAUUAUCUGGUCGCGGUGUAUCGGAGGAGGAGGUAGGUGUCGACGGGAGGAGACGAGUAAGAAGGGGCUCGUACGAAGGGGCGCGUCGUUCAUCCUCGGCGUUGGGGACGAAGGGGAGCACGAUGGGCACGCGGCGACGCUCGUCGUGGUCGCGGACGCAGGGGCAGCCGGAAACCGGGACGUCGUUGGAGCGGUCUCGUGGCUUAGUCCUCCGAAAACGUGGUACCGCAGUUUACUUCGAAACAUCGGCGGUACGGGCUGCGGAGGGUCCCUCGAGGAACGUCGGAAGACAGGCGAAGCAGAGUACGGCCUGGAGCGGCCACGCUAGGGCUGGGGGAACGCGGGAACUAAGAGAGGGAAUACGGGAGAUUGGAGGGGACGAGAAGGGAGAGGAGAAGACUCGUUCCUCGUCCUGGUGAAGUAGGUACCGCGGCGGGAGCGGAGCAGAGCUAGGCCACCUAAGCUUGCGGUUCAGGAGUGGCUUGGUCUUCCUCGCUCGAGGUACCGGUGGGCAGGGGAACGUCGUGGUCGGCGGCGACCCUCAAAGUGUAGCGCGGCGGGCCCAAGACGUAGGAGACGGCCUGGAGGGGAUGAAGCGGAACCAGGCGGCGGUGACGGGUAGCGCAGCAGGAAGCAGUUCAGGACGCGACGGCGGCAAGCUCUCCUCCUGCUGCCUCGGCACGGGGACGCAACUGAAGAGUAGCUCUGCGAGGUCGGCCGGGUAGCGAAGUCGGGCGGUCGCUUAGGUGGUUUCGGGUCGGUGGGCGACGAUCAAAACAAAAAGGACGUCCGGAGGGAGAAGUAGACCAGCCCGGUCCGGGUUUCACUCGUCGAGGGUGGUCGGGUCAAGGGAGUCUAAAGUCGGGUAAACAAAAAAAGGAAACAGGUCGCUUAAAACGUAAAUUGCUCACGUACGUAUAAUGUCUUUACGGUAAAAGAACGUAACGAGUAUUAAUUUAUUGACACGUGGCCUAAUUUUACUAGAGAUAUACUUUGAACGAAUCUUAAAGUAGAUCAAAUUAUUAUACGUUGAAAGUACGUACAAAUUUUACAGGUUUUACGACAAACAAAUUUAAACGAGGAUACAGUACAAUUUUACCAAAUUAAGUAUUGAAUUAUUGGCAUCGAGGUUUGGAUUAUUUGAAAUAUACAUUUACCCCAUCUUAUUACGGAUCAUAUUGUACCACCGGAAUGAAACGUACAAAUUGUUGAGAUUUUAACACAAAUCCCGUCUUGUCAUGGUUUGGAUUAUAUACGUAUACUCCUCAAAGGCCUGAACAACAAAACAACAAGGCCGGAGUAAAUUUGAACGGAUCUAUCCAUCAAAAUAAAACGAAGUGGGAGAACGGUAAAAUUAGUUGUAAAUUGGAACAACCUAUGUAUUUGCUCUAGCUUCAUUUAUUGAACAGCACCACAAAGCAGUUGUACGUUGAACAACGUAUAACUCGAGGUGAAUUAAACAUCCUAACAAACACGUGAAACGGUACGGUACGUAUAAAUUUGGCCUGUACGUAGUAUGAACUAACACGUAGCACGGUACGAAUACACCACCAACAAAUGGUACUAACAAACGAGGAAAGGCCACAACGAAGAAGCCCAACCAAGGCUAUUGCAGCGUAAACACUCCUAGGGAAGCUGAAGCAGGCAAACAGAAGAAGUACCUGAGCAAGAAGAGGGAACGCCCUAAAGUCAAACGUCCACGACUACAAUGGUUCGUCCACUGCGUUGGUUCGGGUUCCUCCUCGAGCUACUUCUAGAACAGGAAACACAACAAAGCAAGAUCAUCUAGUCAUCACCUCGGGUCAACCCCAGCUAGCCCCUGGAACAGCGUAAACCCCAAGAAGAAAAUAAAACCAAGGCAUCAGCCUGGAACUAACAUAAACCAACUACAUUACGAAAUAAGUACAUUAACACACUUCACCGCUAACAUUCGGUUGAUACAUAGAGAAAGGGAAUACAUAAUGUACCCAACACACUUCUAAUGG